RNAcentral lists this ribosomal RNA (274 nucleotides) under uncultured bacterium. RNAcentral describes it as "partial 16S ribosomal RNA". It matches the Rfam family "Bacterial small subunit ribosomal RNA", at positions 523 to 796 of the family's 1533-position model. The record is from RNAcentral.
CUACGGGGGGUGCAAGCGUUACUCGGAAUCACUGGGCGUAAAGCGCGCGCAGGCGGCUAUUUAAGUUGGAUGUGAAAGCCUACGGCUCAACCGUAGAACUGCAUCCAAAACUAUUUAGCUAGAGUGUGGGAGAGGAAGAUGGAAUUAGUUGUGUAGGGGUAAAAUCCGUAGAGAUAACUAGGAAUACCAAAAGCGAAGGCAAUCUUCUGGAACACUACUGACGCUGAGGCGCGAAAGCGUGGGGAGCAAACAGGAUUAGAAACCCCAGUAGUCC